This 497-nucleotide ribosomal RNA is filed under the name uncultured bacterium. Its description in RNAcentral is "partial 16S ribosomal RNA". It matches the Rfam family "Bacterial small subunit ribosomal RNA", at positions 28 to 507 of the family's 1533-position model. The record is from RNAcentral.
GAUGAACGCUGGCGGCGUGCCUAAUACAUGCAAGUCGAGCGGACGGGCGCGACGCUUGCUUCUCUGAUGUUAGCGGCGGACGGGUGACUAACACGUGGUUUACCUACUUCUAUGGCUGAGAUCACUUCGAGAAACCGUAGCUCUUACCGGGUACUAUUUUGAACCGCAUUGUUCGAAAGUGUAAGACGGUCUUGCUGUCACUUAUCGACGGAUCCGCGCUUCAUUAGCUUGUUGGUAAUGUAACGGGUUACCAAGGCAACGAUGCAUAGCCGACCUGAGAGGGUGAUCGGCCACACCGGAAGGGAGGCACGGUCGAGACUCCUACGGGACGCAGCAGUAGGGAAGCUGCAGCAAUGGGCGAAAGCCUGACGGAGCAACGCCGCGUGAGUGAUGAAGGUGCUCGGAUCGUAAAACUCUGUUAGUAGGGAAGAACAUAUGUGUAAGUAACUGUGCACAUCGUGACGGUACCUAAAGAGAAAGCCACGGCUAACUACGUG